This 162-nucleotide small nuclear RNA is filed under the name Mus pahari (shrew mouse). RNAcentral's name for it is "snRNA (MGP_PahariEiJ_G0033467.1)". It matches the Rfam family "U1 spliceosomal RNA". Rfam says of the family: U1 is a small nuclear RNA (snRNA) component of the spliceosome (involved in pre-mRNA splicing). Its 5' end forms complementary base pairs with the 5' splice junction, thus defining the 5' donor site of an intron. Lineage: Eukaryota; Metazoa; Chordata; Mammalia; Rodentia; Muridae. The record is from RNAcentral.
AUACUUACCUGGCUGGGAGGUACCAUGAUCAUGAAGAUGGUUUUCACAGGGUGAGGAUUAUCCACUAUACUCCGGAUGUGCUGACCCCUGCCAUUUCCCCAAAUGUGGGAAACUUGACUGCAUAAUUUGUGGUAGUGGGGAAUUAUGUUCACGCUCUCCCCU